CACCAAGAACAUGAAGUGCGUAUCUCACACUUGGAAGAUAUUCUGGGAAAACUGAGAGAAAAAUCUGAGGCCAUCCAGAAGGAACUAGAACAGACCAAGCAAAAAACAAUCAGUGCGGUUGGUGAGCAGCUCCUGCCCACGGUCGAGCACCUCCAGCUGGAGUUGGAUCAGCUAAAGUCAGAGCUGUCCAGCUGGCGACACUUGAAGACCGGCUGUGAGACAGUGGAUGCCGUACAAGAAAGAGUGAGC
This 249-nucleotide long non-coding RNA is filed under the name Pan troglodytes (chimpanzee). RNAcentral's name for it is "long non-coding RNA NONPTRT015994". Lineage: Eukaryota; Metazoa; Chordata; Mammalia; Primates; Hominidae. The record is from RNAcentral.